AUUGAACGCUGGCGGAAUGCUUUACACAUGCAAGUCGAACGGUAGAGGGGGCAACCCCCUUGAGAGUGGCGAACGGGUGAGUAAUAUAUCGGAACGUGCCCAGUCGUGGGGAUAACGUAGCGAAAGUUACGCUAAUACCGCAUACGAUCUACGGAUGAAAGCGGGGGACUCGCAAGAGCCUCGCGCGAUUGGAGCGGCCGAUAUCAGAUUAGGUAGUUGGUGGGGUAAAGGCUCACCAAGCCAACGAUCUGUAGCUGGUCUGAGAGGACGACCAGCCACACUGGAACUGAGACACGGUCCAGACUCCUACGGGAGGCAGCAGUGGGGAAUUUUGGACAAUGGACGCAAGUCUGAUCCAGCCAUUCCGCGUGCAGGAUGAAGGCCCUCGGGUUGUAAACUGCUUUU
RNAcentral lists this ribosomal RNA (405 nucleotides) under uncultured bacterium. Its description in RNAcentral is "bacterial SSU rRNA". It matches the Rfam family "Bacterial small subunit ribosomal RNA", at positions 30 to 437 of the family's 1533-position model. The record is from RNAcentral.